UUUCUCGUUUUCGCACGUAGCUAAGCUGUAAUAUUAUCAUUUCAGCUUCCCUGAAAACAGCGUGGUGGAUUUCAAGGGCAAGUCAAGUUAAAAACAGAGCUGAGAAUGGGUCACACAUACCCUUAACACCAAGACGCAACCUCAGGUAGCAAUCUCAUGUACGCAGAUUAUCAUCUACUGGAUCAGCAUCAAGGCAACCUGGGAGCUCCGAGGGGAAAGAGGGAAUGGAGCUGGCAGAGAGAGAGAGGCAGAGGCAGAGCCUGGGCCGUCCGUCAGCUCCCAGAUGGAGAGUCAACAGCCCCCAGGUCUGGAGGUGGCUGAUGAGGAAGAGGAGGAACAGCUGGGUCCAGUACCUGAUGCACGGAUGCGUAGAAGGCAAAGGAGAGGAGAGCAGUGGAAAUCUAUGGGCUGGUCCUUGGGAAGGAAGAGUCACCGCUGCUAACGAAGACUUACCCUAGCUCUGGGGAUAAAAGGCAGGGGCUGGAGAUGAAUAGAUGUGGUAGACAACUUCAUCUCCCAAUUGGCCGGACUUGUUAGCCUGAAUUGAGGGAGAGACUUUUUGCUGGGGCUGCCGGUGCUUCUAAUAAAGGAAUCUUUUGAGUUCA
This is a non-coding RNA of Pantherophis guttatus, 605 nucleotides long. The record is from RefSeq and is a predicted model, not a curated record. Lineage: Eukaryota; Metazoa; Chordata; Lepidosauria; Squamata; Colubridae.